Molecule: long non-coding RNA, 3829 nt
Filed under: Helianthus annuus (common sunflower)
Lineage: Eukaryota; Viridiplantae; Streptophyta; Magnoliopsida; Asterales; Asteraceae
Description: hypothetical non coding rna
Source: RNAcentral
UUGCUACUUUCUUAAUACUUCAUAUUUUAUAAGUAUUAUUUUUUUUAUCACAUUUUAGUUUUACAUCUUAACAUUGUUGUUUGGUACCAUGGAUGAUCUGUUUAAUGUUCAUUUAUGUGCUGACUUUAACAAUUUUGGAAGCGAAACAGUUUCAACAAACACGGGUAACUUUUUCCUUAAUUUUAAUUAAAUUAAGAUUAUUUGGUACUUGUAGAUAUUCUGGGGCUAAAGUCAAAAGCUACAUUAGGGACAACAGCACUCAAUAUGGUACUCUUACAGACUCAAGUGUAGUUGUUUGAUCAAUUGAUUCUAAUGUUUUAUUAGCAUUUUAUUGAUUCUUUGUUAGUUACAUUUGAUGAUGAUCAUAUGAAUAGUUAAGAUCUAUGAAAAACUUCAAUUCAACGAAAGUUAAGUACCUUUUCAAGCUGAUGUAUAAAAUUACUUCUACAAACUUCAAUUCGAUUAUACCUCGGUCACACAGCCACCACAACUUCCAGUCGUUCCCAGCUCUCCUGCAGAAUCAAAACUUAAUUAGGCAUUUAAUCAAAAACUUGAUGAACACAAUUCAAAGAACAAUUCUGCCUUGUCCUGUAUCUGACCAUGAUGUGCACAUUAUACAAGAUUAAGUACUUACAUGACAGUUAAUUUAUACAAGAUUGUUUGCUAUGUUGUAUAUAUUCUAGGGCUAAAGUCGAAAGGUCCAUUGGUGGCAGCAGCACUCAAUAUGCUAGUCUUAUAAACUCAAGUUUAUAUCUUUUAAUAUAUGUUCGGUUAUUUAACAACAUAUUUUGAUAACAAACGAAGGUGAACACGAAAAUAAUUUUAUAGCCCUGAGAUUAGAAAAAGACGUAUAACAGGCAAGAAAGUAAUUUUAUGAAACCAUGUUGAGGUAAAAUGAGGAAAACAACCGUGUAGUCAUUUAAGAUGAUUUUCGUCCUAAUUUACAGCAAAAAGAUGUGACAACUCGAACUUUCGACUUUCACUUUCGCAUUAAAUGCACGUUGACUUUGACUGUUUAGUUGUUGAUUUGUUUGACUUGUAAUGUAUACGUUGUGAUAUGAUAAAGUGUUUGUGAUUUCAUGAGUAUGUGGUUGGUUGUGUAAGUGUAACAUGAGAUUGUAACUUAUUAAGCCCAUUACGGAAUUAAGCUCACUUAGGAUUCGACGAAUCAGGUGAUUCGCCAAUAGUGACUCGACGAAACACAAGUGUGUUUCGCCAAACCUAGUCUCGACGAAUCAAAUGUGAUUCGCCGGCCCGUUGAUUCGCCAAGCCCAUUUAGGGCCCAACAGUUACGGUUUACGUAUUUAAGGGUCAUAGGCUCGUGAGUUGUGAUCUUUUGCGAAACCCUAGAGCCCCUCUCUACGAACAGACAGCUGCUUCUCUCUCACUCGGAGUUCUUGACGUUUUCCCUCUCUCCCAAACCCUUGCUAGUCUCGUAUCGUUUUGGUUAGUAUUCCGUCUUGGUGACUUGAUUGUUGUUAUGUGUUAGAUGAUUGUUAUACAUACAUGUAUUGCGAAUGAUAUGCACUUAUAUGCGGAUCGACUGUGAUGUGUUUUUGUCGUUUAUUGAAUUGACUAGCAUGAUAGGGAUUCUUAUAACCUAGUGAAUGAAUGAGGCACCUUGUAUAAAUCAAUGAUUUGUUAUAAUACAAAUCAUGACCGAGCCGUUACGUAACUGUUAUUGGUAAUUGGGAUUCAUGUUAGAUGAUAUGUGCCUUGAUGUAAUUGGUAUGAUCAAUGGUUACUGUAUGAUGAUGAUUGCAUGAUUUUCUUAUGAUGAUGAUGACGGCUGUUAGGGUUUUUGACGUAACUGAUGUUGUUCGACGUAUCAGACUGUUUGACGAAAUAGGAGUUUGGCGAAACAGAGAAUGUGUUUCGCCAAGGGGUAAUCGACGAAAUAGGAAGGGUGUUUCGCCGAGGGUAGUUGACGAAACAGAAUGUGUUUCGUCAACAUGUGUUUCUUCAACUUGGAUAACUUGCACAGUAACCUAGUUAGACUAUGUUAGAAGUUAACUGUAUUAACUAAUUGCUGUUAAAUGAUGAACAUGACUUGUAUAAUCUUGAAUACGUGCAAUGUGCUACUUGGUGAUAUGUCUAUACGGGAACAAAAUAAAUACAAACUGAUUGUGUAUACGUGCAUACCCUAGGACGUGAUUGAUUUACUUCGAGCACAUACUUAGCAUACCGAGCAAACCAAGUAGUGAGUAUCCGUUCACGUAGGUUUUACGUGAGUGUCCUUCGCAACCUGAGGACAGUGAGUAGCUUAGGUAUACGUAGGUUUUACGUAUGUAUCCUGCACAACCGAGGACGAUGGUAUGGUAGUCUAGUAAUGGCAUCCGUAUGUAUCUAUUCAACCUUAUCCUUUCAAUCCCAUUCCCAACACCCCGGGAAUCCCAUGCCUUGGUAAGAGUGUGAACUCACCUUGGGUUUGCUCGGCAGUUACACAAAGUUCGGUUAAGCUAUAUAGUGAUCAACCACAUCCUAGCAUGGUUAUCAUACAAGUCAGGUUCGUAUUCGAAUAUAGCACAUAGGUUCUACACGUAUUGUGGCAAUUAUAAACAUGGCAUGCACAAGUAUUCAUAGCAGUCCAAUAGCAGACACGUAACAAGUUCAAGUAUCCGGCCCAAAUCAAUUGGGCUCGUGACAGUGCAAGUCCAAACAGUGUGCAUGUGUAGCUGGUCUCGAGUCGAGACUAGGGACCUCGAGUCGCAACAAAAGGAGGUCUCGACUUGUGCCUAAAUCACUCGAGACAAGGUGGUCACGAGUCAGGUCUCGAGUCGCAACGGGACUCGCAAAUGCAGGUCUCGGGUUGUCAUGAUCAGGUCGAGAUCACACGGUCUCGAGUCGCAACCGGACCCGCAACCGUGGUCUCGGUUUGUGUUGUUUGUGUUGAUAAGGUGGUCUCGAGUCGAGACUGAGGGUUCUCGACUCGCAACCCUGGUCGAGACAACGUGUAACAGAUUUCCAUCUUUUGCAGCUCAAUCAAUUCCUAAAUAUCAGCAAACAUCUUGGCAAUUUCGAAAAACAGAUCAAUCAACAAUAUCCAAAGAUACGGUUAACCUAAUAUCGAUCAAACAGGCAUCACAUCAUGAACUCGUAUGAACCCUAACCCAAUCAACAUCAACAAUAUUCACAUGAACAAUAAUCUAUCCAUUUAUAUGAACAUCAACCUAUAUACGCAUAACCGAAUCUCGUGUGCAUAAUUUUCCAUCGUUUACUAGCAUGCAUAACCCUAAUGUAAACAUAUACAAUCAAAACAAUCACAACAUCAUCUAAUAUAAACUAACCGAUUAUAUCAUCAACAUCACCAAGCAUGAAAUCGGUAAACAUAUACUAACCGGGUUAGAGGAUUGAAACAAGUGAGGUCUCGAGUGAACAAGGGUGAUCCGAACAAGGAAUGAUCUUCGAUCGCCAAAGGGUUGUUGCCGUCGGUUUGAGAGAGAGAAUGAGAAGCUAGGGUUUUUGUGUGUGAUAGUGUUUUUGCAACAUGUGAGAAAGUUACAAACACUCUAAGUGUUAUGCGCAACAAAGGAAUGGGAUUGGAUGACUUAUUGUAUAUACUCAGAUGAUAGAACCUAACGAUAAGAUACGGCUAGACUAGUAACACUUAUUGAACUGAUCUUCACACACCUGCCAAGGGUUGGCCGCGAUAUUAUGACUGACUUCGCACACCUGCCUUAGGAAGGCCGCGAACUAAAUUUACUAAUCUUCGCACACCUGCCUGGGAGGCCGCGAUACAAAUAAACCUAGUCUAGAUUACUUGGGAAAAACAUCCCCUAAUAUCUUCGCAUACCUGCCUGGGAGGCCGCGAUGGAAACUGAUACGAUAC